This 257-nucleotide ribosomal RNA is filed under the name uncultured bacterium. RNAcentral describes it as "partial 16S ribosomal RNA". It matches the Rfam family "Bacterial small subunit ribosomal RNA", at positions 333 to 587 of the family's 1533-position model. The record is from RNAcentral.
UGUUCCCUACGGGGGGCAGCAGUGAGGAAUAUUGGUCAAUGGGCGGAAGCCUGAACCAGCCAAGUAGCGUGCGGGAUGAAGGCCCUACGGGUCGUAAACCGCUUUUGCACGGGGAUAACACCCUCCACUUGUGGAGGUCUGCAGGUACCGUGCGAAUAAGGGCCGGCUAAUUCCGUGCCAGCAGCCGCGGUAAUACGGAAGGCCCGAGCGUUACCCGGAUUCAUUGGGCUUAAAGGGAGCGUAGGGGGGCGUUCAAG